Molecule: non-coding RNA, 85 nt
Filed under: uncultured Prevotella sp.
Lineage: Bacteria; Pseudomonadati; Bacteroidota; Bacteroidia; Bacteroidales; Prevotellaceae
Source: RNAcentral
CCGGCAGGGGUGCCGGGGCUGUUGCCCGGGCUGAGAUCAUACCCGUAACACCUGAUUCGGAUAAUGCCGACGUAGGGAAGCUGCC